UCUUCCUCUUGAUUAUAUUCCAGAGGUUUUCAAUUUGGUAAAAUCAAAGAAACCCAUAAUUUUUAAGUCAUUUAUCAUUUCUUUUUUUUCCAGAGCUGUAUAUCCCAGUGGCUAUAUGAAAUAUAUUAGGAAAAAUAUAUUUUAUGAUACAGCGUAGUAGUUAAAUGUCUGUUGUCUCUCCUAGGAGAGAUUUUUUCCUAAGGAAAGUCGGGGAUGAGAAAGCUGUUCAGAGGUACUUAGAGGUGGACCAAACCCUUUGCGAUGUUGUGGCUAAAUACACUGAAGGCAGAUCCGUUUCUGGGUGGAAACAUAAGAUACCCACAGAUAAUCCAGACAUGCUAAGUGUUGACAGUAAACUUCCAGACAAUCUACUUGGACUGUUACGUUACUUUCGUAACUCACUGGUGCACCCCAAGAAAAAGUUUGUGGGCUUUGAGAUUUUCAAAGACUUGUAUCCAGACUUCUUCAUCUGUGCAAACAAGCUGGCGAAAGAGAUGCGUUGGACAGAUUAAGGAUACCCGUACACACUCCUGCUGUCUCUCCUUUUUAUGAGCUGCUACCAAAAAAACAAAAAUCUGAUUAUCCUGUACUCCAAUCGAUGGAUCUAACCGAUGGGCAUUUUUUAACCCUUGUGUGGUGUUCGGGUCUGUGGGACCCGUUUUCAUUUUUCAUCAAAUGAUACUAAACAAUAUUUUUUCUAACUCAAACUCAUUGGCAUUGGCUCAUUUUUUGUGGGAAACACAUAUCAAAACACAUUUUCAAUAAACACACACUGUACCCCCCCCCCUCA
RNAcentral lists this long non-coding RNA (790 nucleotides) under Astyanax mexicanus (Mexican tetra). RNAcentral describes it as "lncRNA (ENSAMXG00005002297.1)". The record is from RNAcentral. Lineage: Eukaryota; Metazoa; Chordata; Actinopteri; Characiformes; Acestrorhamphidae.